This 484-nucleotide ribosomal RNA is filed under the name uncultured bacterium. Its description in RNAcentral is "partial 16S ribosomal RNA". It matches the Rfam family "Bacterial small subunit ribosomal RNA", at positions 30 to 507 of the family's 1533-position model. The record is from RNAcentral.
AUUGAACGCUGGCGGCAGGCCUAACACAUGCAAGUCGAGCGGAUGAAGGGAGCUUGCUCCUGGAUUCAGCGGCGGACGGGUGAGUAAUGCCUAGGAAUCUGCCUGGUAGUGGGGGAUAACGUCCGGAAACGGGCGCUAAUACCGCAUACGUCCUGAGGGAGAAAGUGGGGGAUCUUCGGACCUCACGCUAUCAGAUGAGCCUAGGUCGGAUUAGCUAGUUGGUGGGGUAAAGGCCUACCAAGGCGACGAUCCGUAACUGGUCUGAGAGGAUGAUCAGUCACACUGGAACUGAGACACGGUCCAGACUCCUACGGGCGGCAGUAGUGGGGAAUAUUGGACGAUGGGCGAAAGCCUGAUCCAGCCAUGCCGCGUGUGUGCAGAAGGUCUUCGGAUUGUAAAGCACUUUAAGUUGGGAGGAAGGGCAGUAAGUUAAUACCUUGCUGUUUUGACGUUACCAACAGAAUAAGCACCGGCUAACUUCGUG